CCUCCUCUUCCCCCUCUCUCCAAUCCCUAAAACGAACCAGUAAAUAAUUUUGCUGAUCUCGAUUUGAUUGGACCUGGGUUCUCAUUUGGGAAUUGCAGCCCGUGUGUGUGCGCCAGGAAACUCAAUAUCAGUGCGUAGAUGUUUUUUAGAUCAGAAUUCGGGAGCUUUUGGUUGUCCAUGUACGUGAUACCUAAAUUACCUAGAUUGAUGUCUGUUGGUUCGGUUCAACGAAAAUUCACAGCACGCUUAUGUGCUGUCUGUCAGUACGUUACCCAGGAGUACUAGUUUCUCCAUAGAUUAGACCAGCACAAACUCUUGCAGUUAAUUAACUCGAGGAAUCAACGUUGCUGCAAACAAUAAAAUGCUAGUAUCUUCUUUUUUGGAGUACCUUGUUGAAACCGGAUGCAACCUGGGUGUUGUGCUAUGCAAGCACUAUACUUGUUUCUGUCCAGUUCACCUCUUGAUAACACAUUUUCUUGCCAUCAUAUUUGUUGCCCACAAGAAUCGACACUGCUAUGUGGUGGAGGUAGGGCGGGUCAAGAUCUUUGCGCUGGAGGAUGGGAAGACGAUGCGCGCGUUCUACUUCUACAUACUUACCCUGUUGUGCCUCAAGUUUGAGUGCUCGAGUGGCUGUGAGAUAUGGGGAAACGUGAAGAAGAUGUUGGCCAAGGCUGAAUCCAAACUCUCAGCUGCCGUAUAUUUUUUUGGCGUUAUGGUGGGUGCUGUACACAACGGUUUCAGCCUCAGCUUGUGGCUUUUGUGCUGAUGACAUCGUUCUUCUUCGGCUACAACCAUAGUGGCAUCAUCAAGCACACCACCAUGCAGAUCAUCUGCUGGGAAACUUGAAGAAGCUGUUGGCCAAGGCUGAAUCCGAACUCAGCAACCGUGUAUGUUCUGGCGUUAUGAUGGUGCUGUAUACAACAGCCGCGUCAAGUGGUUGCUGUUGUGGUGACGACAGUGUUCUUCUUUGGUUACAACCAUACUGGCAUCAUCAAACACACCAUGCAGAUCAUCUACCUAGCACCAGGAUGAUGACUUGAAGGAUUUGCAUCACUCAGUCCUCACAAGCAUGUAGUGCAACUUUUCUAUAUGAUAAACUAUAAUUUUGUCUGGCUGGAUGAGAUAAUCAAGUUUGGAUGGCUCUCUAAGCCAUACAAGGGUAUUGGUGUCUGCUUUGAGCAAACAAAAAAGGGCGAAGAUUUAGUAAUGUGAUCCUUACUUCCCAACUCAGGGGAUGGCGAGUCGCUGGCGAGGACGACAUGGCCAGGGCCAUGUGCUGUGUCUAAUCUUUGUCUGAUUUAGUCGGGCAUCCAUCUCUGGGCUGUUGCGCGGCUGCUUGUUUGUCUUCCGGUGAGACCUCUCAUCAUCAAACACACCAUGCAGAUCAUCCGCCCUGCAGGGAUGGCGAGUCGCCAGCGAGGAUGACAUGUCCAGGGUAUGUUCCGUGGCCCAUCUUUGGCUGGUUCAGUCUGGCGUCCAUGUGGCGGAUGCUGUGCUGCUGUUGCUUGUUCGUGUAUUUGAAAUAAUGUUUUGAAUGGUUGUAAUAUAGUUGACAUGCUGAGAAAGCUUGCCACAAAGCUGUGUAUGUGCUGCGCGUGCUGUCAGUUGUGCUGUUUUGGUCUGGCUGUCUCGACAGCAGCAGUGGUGCAUCUUUGUAUGUGAAAAAAUGUUUCAGUUGCUGUAAUAUUGGUGUAUUGUAAUGCUCCGGUCGAGAAGCUAUGUGAAAAAAAAUGCGCUUUGAGAGGUUUU
Lolium rigidum is the source of this 1749-nucleotide long non-coding RNA. RefSeq lists it as uncharacterized. The transcript has 6 exons. Lineage: Eukaryota; Viridiplantae; Streptophyta; Magnoliopsida; Poales; Poaceae. The record is from RefSeq and is a predicted model, not a curated record.